RNAcentral lists this ribosomal RNA (277 nucleotides) under uncultured bacterium. Its description in RNAcentral is "partial 16S ribosomal RNA". It matches the Rfam family "Bacterial small subunit ribosomal RNA", at positions 28 to 312 of the family's 1533-position model. The record is from RNAcentral.
GGUGAACGCUAGCGGCGGGCCUAACACAUGCAAGUCGUGCGGAGGGGGCAACCCCUCAGCGGCGGACGGGUGCGUAACACGUAGGUAACCUGCCCCCAGGAGGGGGAUAACCCUGGGAAACCAGGGCUAAUACCCCAUAAAGCAAGGGCACCGCAUGGUGGGCUUGCUAAAGCCGAAAGGCGCCUGGGGAGGGGCCUGCGGCCGAUUAGCUAGUUGGUAGGGUAACGGCCUACCAAGGCGAUGAUCGGUAGCUGGUCUGAGAGGACGGCCAGCCACA